This 227-nucleotide unclassified non-coding RNA is filed under the name Hevea brasiliensis (rubber tree). The record is from RNAcentral. Lineage: Eukaryota; Viridiplantae; Streptophyta; Magnoliopsida; Malpighiales; Euphorbiaceae.
UUCUCUCAUCACAUCCCUCAUUUCUCUCUCUGCUCUAUCUUCACAAAACAGACCCAGCAAACCAACACCUACAUAACAAAACAACCUUCCUCACUUUCAUCUGUAAGAGCCACGAUAGGUGGUAUCAUCAUGAUCCGAUGAAUGUGCUGAAGCCUUCUAUCUGACUCGACUUGAAUGCUUCUUCAAGGGUAGCACAAGACGGCCAUGAAAACUUUCCCUUUCCUAAU